RNAcentral lists this ribosomal RNA (594 nucleotides) under uncultured archaeon. Its description in RNAcentral is "bacterial SSU rRNA". It matches the Rfam family "Archaeal small subunit ribosomal RNA", at positions 1 to 602 of the family's 1478-position model. The record is from RNAcentral.
UUCCGGUUGAUCCUGCCGGACCCGACUGCUAUCAGAGUGGGACUAAGCCAUGCGAGUCAACGCAGCAAUGCGUGGCAUACGGCUCACGUAACACGUAGUCAACAUGCCCAGGCGACGUGGAUAACCUCGGGAAACUGAGGAUAAACCGCGAUAGGCCAAGGUUUCUGGAAUGGAUCAUGGCUGAAACCUACAUGGCCCCUGGAUUGGACUGCGGCCGAUCAGGCUGUUGGUGAGGUAAUGGCCCACCAAACCUGUAACCGGUACGGGCUCUGAGAGGAGGAGCCCGGAGAUGGGCACUGAGACAAGGGCCCAGGCCCUAUGGGGCGCAGCAGGCGCGAAACCUCUGCAAUAGGCGAAAGCUUGACAGGGUUACUCUGAGUGAUGUCCGCUAAGGGCAUCUUUUGGCACUUCUAAAAAUAGUGUAGAAUAAGGGGUGGGCAAGUCUGGUGUCAGCCGCCGCGGUAAUACCAGCACCCCGAGUGGUCGGGACGAUUAUUGGGCCUAAAGCAUCCGUAACCGGUUCUGUCAGGUCUUCCGUUAAAUCCACCUGCUCAACAAAUGGGCUGCGAAGAAUACUACAGGCUAAGAAGGCGG